GGCUCGUUAGCUCAGUUGGUUAGAGCUCCAGGCUAAUACUUUCAAAACUGGCGGUCGUGGGUUCAAAUCCCACACGAGCCC
This is a non-coding RNA of Henosepilachna vigintioctopunctata, 81 nucleotides long. The record is from the annotation of a GenBank genome assembly. NCBI's taxonomy places the organism in Eukaryota, Metazoa, Arthropoda, Insecta, Coleoptera, Coccinellidae.